CCUACGGGUGGCUGCAGUCGAGAAUCAUUCACAAUGGGGGAAACCCUGAUGGUGCGACGCCGCGUGGGGGAAUGAAGGUCUUCGGAUUGUAAACCCCUGUCAUGUGGGAGCAAAUUAAAAAGAUAGUACCACAAGAGGAAGAGACGGCUAACUCUGUGCCAGCAGCCGCGGUAAUACAGAGGUCUCAAGCGUUGUUCGGAAUCACUGGGCGUAAGGCGUGCGUAGGCUGUUUCGUAAGUCGUGUGUGAAAGGCGCGGGCUCAACCCGCGGACGGCACAAGAUACUGCGAGACUAGAGUAAUGGAGGGGGAACCGGAAUUCUCGGUGUAGCAGUGAAAUGCGUAGAUAUCGAGAGGAACACUCGUGGCGAAGGCGGGUUCCUGGACAUUAACUGACGCUGAGGCACGAAGGCCAGGGGAGCGAAAGGGAUUAGAUACCCGAGUAGUC
RNAcentral lists this ribosomal RNA (446 nucleotides) under uncultured bacterium. Its description in RNAcentral is "partial 16S ribosomal RNA". It matches the Rfam family "Bacterial small subunit ribosomal RNA", at positions 338 to 795 of the family's 1533-position model. The record is from RNAcentral.